This 89-nucleotide transfer RNA is filed under the name Armatimonadota bacterium. Its description in RNAcentral is "Armatimonadetes bacterium (groundwater metagenome) tRNA-Leu". It matches the Rfam family "tRNA". From Rfam's summary of the family: Transfer RNA (tRNA) molecules are approximately 80 nucleotides in length. The record is from RNAcentral. Lineage: Bacteria; Bacillati; Armatimonadota.
GCGGGCGUAGCCGAACUGGUACAGGCGCCAGACUUAGGAUCUGGUGGGUCUCGUCGCCCAUGAGGGUUCGAGUCCCUCCGCCCGCACCA